Molecule: long non-coding RNA, 469 nt
Filed under: Brassica rapa (field mustard)
Lineage: Eukaryota; Viridiplantae; Streptophyta; Magnoliopsida; Brassicales; Brassicaceae
Description: long non-coding RNA (BRAP_LNC007707)
Source: RNAcentral
UAAAAAAUGUAAAAUCAAAAUUUUGGUUUUUUUAGCUUAGUGUGGAGAGAAAGUGAGAGAUAUGUUGUGUUUAGUUCAUAAGAAUUGAAAAAGAAGAAGGAUAACUCGAUUUUGGGAGCAUUAAGAGCUUCAAAUUGGUUGUUUAUGGUGGUUAGGGUAUUGAUGACAAUGGCAAUCUUGUAAUUACUUGAAGAUGAUGAGGGUGAGAGAGUAAAAAUGUCAUUUUCGAAAAAAAAAUUAAAAAAAAAUUGAUGACAUUUUCGUGAAUUAUAUGAACUUGUGGGGUGAAUAUGGCAAAACUAAUUUCCAAAAAAAAUGGAGGUUAGUUUUGUGUUUGACUUUAAAUUGUAGGUCAAUUUUGCAAAAAACCCAAUUUUCAAUGUUUCAAAUAUAUAUAUAUAUAUAUAUAUAUAUAUGUAUAUAUAAUUAACUCUAAACUAUUAAAAAAACUGAAUUAUUAAGAAACGGG